UACAGAGGUCUCGAGCGUUGUUCGGAUUCAUUGGGCGUAAAGGGUGCGUAGGCUGCGGGGCAAGUCUGAUGUGAAAUCCUGGGGCUCAACCCCAGAACUGCAUUGGAUACUGCUUUGCUAGAGUACUGGAGAGGAGACUGGAAUUUACGGUGUAGCAGUGAAAUGCGUAGAGAUCGUAAGGAAGACCAGUGGCGAAGGCGAGUCUCUGGACAGUUACUGACGCUGAGGCACGAAGGCCAGGGGAGCAAACGGG
Molecule: ribosomal RNA, 253 nt
Filed under: uncultured bacterium
Lineage: Bacteria
Description: partial 16S ribosomal RNA
Rfam family: Bacterial small subunit ribosomal RNA
Source: RNAcentral